Molecule: long non-coding RNA, 323 nt
Filed under: Manihot esculenta (cassava)
Lineage: Eukaryota; Viridiplantae; Streptophyta; Magnoliopsida; Malpighiales; Euphorbiaceae
Description: long non-coding RNA (MESC_LNC007096)
Source: RNAcentral
UUUGGACUUCUCGAAAUUCGAAUUUCUGUUUUCUGCACAAUUUCCCACUCUGCUGUCAAUUUCUGCUGUCAAUGUGAUUGGGGCGGGUGAUUUGGGCAGAUCACUUGCUCGAUCUGCCCCAAUCGCUUUCUGUGAGUCAGUCCAGUUUUUAGCUUUCUGUCUCUGCGAGUGAUUUGGCCAGUCUCUGCGAGUGAUUUGGGCAGAUCACUUGCCCAUAUCACUUCUGCCUGUUGCCUCCAGGUUUCUGCUUCAGCUUGAUCUGGGCAGUGAUUUGCCCAGAUCGUUGCCCCAAUCACUGUCUGUGAGUUAAUCCCAGUUUUCUG